Molecule: long non-coding RNA, 980 nt
Filed under: Homo sapiens (human)
Lineage: Eukaryota; Metazoa; Chordata; Mammalia; Primates; Hominidae
Description: HSALNT0137376
Source: RNAcentral
CAGUCAAUAUACAUUGGUUCGGUUGGGAAAGGCAGGAAAACUGGAAGUGGGGGAGGGAGCUUCCAGGUCAUAGGUAGAUAAGAGACAGAUGGUUACAUUCUUUUGAGUUUCUGAGAAGCCUUUUACUGAAUAGACAAUUUACAUGCGAGAAGAGGGUAAAUAGUCACUUAUGCCUUAGUCUGGCUUAGUGAUACAUACUUGUCUCACAGGAGCCUCAGAGGAGUGACUGAGUUCUGUCUGUCCUUUGUCUGCAAGGAAUUUCCUUGUGGGCAAAUUGUGAGGGAGUGAGCCCAGGGUCACUUUCCUCAGGAGAGCAUGUGGAGGGAUCCUGCAGGAGGAAACGUUCCCUGCUGCACAGUGCAUCAGUUGGAAUGUGCUGGGACAGCCACAUCCUGAGAUAAAGAAGAACAACACAGGCUCCGUUCCAAUUCCUUAGAACUGGAUGUUGUCCUGCGGUGCUUAUUUGUCCAGCAAGUCCAGUUGCUCCUGCACAUGAAACCCAGAUCAGAUCAUGCUUUUGGGGUCCCUCAGCUGCAGUGCAGCAUAAGACACACACAGUGGCCGGAUGUGGUGGCUCACGCCUGUAAUCCCAGCACUUUGGGAGGCCAAGGUGGGUGGAUCACUGAGGUCAGGAGUUCAAGACCAGCCUGGCCAACAUGGUGAAACCCUGUCUCUACUAAAAAUACAAAAAAUUAGCUGAGCAUAGUGGUGACGGGCACCUGUAAUCUCAGCUACUUGGGAGGCUGAGGCAGGAGAAUCACUUGAACCCAGGAGGCAGAGGUUGCAGUGAGCCAAGAUCAUGCCAUUGCACUCCAGAACAAGAGCGAAAACUCCAUUCCCUCUCCCCGCCCCCAAAAAAAGACACACAAAGUGAGACUCAAUCCACCCAGGGCAGUCUUCCUGAGCCUUGGGGGACUGGCUUGCCAUAAAUCCUAGGCUUCUAUUGUCCCUUGCUGACUUUCUGUAAGUAAUAAAGUUGC